Molecule: long non-coding RNA, 548 nt
Filed under: Carica papaya (papaya)
Lineage: Eukaryota; Viridiplantae; Streptophyta; Magnoliopsida; Brassicales; Caricaceae
Description: long non-coding RNA (CPAP_LNC013813)
Source: RNAcentral
UCGAAGACAGUUCUAAAGAGGAGGCAAAAUUGGAGGAGAGGAAGAGGAAAUGUUGUUGAUGGUGUGCAGAGAGAAUGGCCCAGGCGAGGUGUUGUCUCAGGAGAGUCAGUCGAAGUUGAAAGACGAAGCUCUGUCCUCUGCUAUUACUAUGCGUGAAAUGUUGGAGGAGGAGGUCCGUAGAGGCGAUGUCACGGGAGCUAGUGACUACAAUGGUAGUGAUCUCGCAAUGGUCCUUAUGGAAGAGGAAGCCCAGGCAGUUGUCGUGGCAUCAGAUCCAGACAUUGAGGAGAUUCUAACUCUGAAGUUUAGAUGGAGCCGACCUGACGAACAAUGAAAGACGAAGGAGCUCACUAUGAGUUUUGUAGAAUUCAAUAACAUGAGUUUUGUAGAUUGAUGAGCUUGACAAGAGAGAGGGAGUGGGCGGUUUGGAUGAUGAGGAGAGGAUAAAAAGAUAUCCUUUGAAGGGGAAGUUGGCAAGCAAAAUCAAUAUGGAGGAGACCUCUUCAAGACAAAAAUCCAAAAAAACUGGUUGAAAGAAGGAGACAAUA